Long non-coding RNA from Meriones unguiculatus (Mongolian gerbil), 3814 nucleotides. RefSeq lists it as uncharacterized. The transcript is spliced from 2 exons. The record is from RefSeq and is a predicted model, not a curated record. Lineage: Eukaryota; Metazoa; Chordata; Mammalia; Rodentia; Muridae.
UGCUGGGGGCAGAAGGGUAUUGAGCAAGAGUUCCUGUCCAGCAAACCCUCGGAGCUGGAAUUCCUGGCUUGGAAGGAAGUAUAUUGCUGUAGGCAGCUAGCUCCUUUCUAAGCCGAGUGCUCAGCUUACAGCAGGUGUGCCUUUCUCCACCCCACGGCCAUCCACACCGUCCCUUUCUCCAGUGUCUGAGGGCAACCCACAGAGGCUGGCGUUUCUCUUCUUAGGGAGGAUUUAAAAACACACGAUGGCCAGUUGCGUAAUCUGAACUCUUUUCAGCCUAUCGUCGGUGAAGAACAUUUUGAAGAGUCUCUUACAUCACACGUCCGCAUUCUGAGAGGCGGGACUUCCUACCUGGCACUCCAGCCACGUAAGCCUCCCGGUACUGUCAGACUUGAGUGGUACCCGGUAGGCCAGAGCAUGCGUGAUUUGGCUGGGGUCCACCCUCACACCUCGCUGUAGAUCCUUCUGACAUGGUGUCUCAUGGGACCUUAAGGUGAUGGGUGUAAAUGUGAAUGCUUGGAAUGGUGAUGGGCGUCACAACCUGUUGCACCCUGUGCCGCCACUGGCGUAACUGAGGAGGAGAGAGCCCGCGUCGCUUGGUUUAGUUGCUCUUUGGUAACUUUUUUCAGCGUGGAGGCCUUCUUCUGGGUGUCAGCCUGCUGUGGUGGUUGGGAUGAGAAUGAACCCCGUAUACUCCUACAGUUCUACGCUUGCUCUCCAGUCGGCAGAACUACUGGGGGGAUCAGGAAGCACAGCCUCGUUGGAGGAGGUGUCUCACUGGGAGUGGGCUUUGAGGUUGAGAAAGAGCACACCGUUUCCGGUUAGCUUUUUGUCUCAGCGGCCCUCAGCUGCUGUUCCAAGGUUAUGCCAGCCUGGCUGCCGCAGCGUUCUCUGCCAUGAUGGUCAAGGACUCUUAUCUUCUGGAGCCGUGAGCCCCACAUUAAAUGCUUUCUUUUCUAAGUUGCUUUGGUCAUGAUGUUUUGUCAUGGCAAUAGAAAAGUUACUAAGGCACCUGUGCUAUAAAACUUCACACAUGAGGCUCACUUUCAGACAUUUAUAUACCUCCUGUAUAGACAGUCCCCCAUCUGUCUCUUCUUAUGCUCUGAACACCUGGCCAAGCCAUCUGUUACUCCAUGAUUUUUCUAUUCUCGGGACUCUUGCAUUCUCCAGAAGGGGAUAAGCAGGUGCACUAUCUGAAGCUCCGUCCACUGGGAAAACAUGUCCCUCUCAGCUGCUAGAGAGAGUGUAACGUGUACAUGCCAUCCCGUCUGUACCUCCGUCUGCUGCCAACCAACCUGUGAACCAAGCUCGGUCUCCAUCCAUUUUCAUCAGAUUGUCACCCGGGAUGUUCCACGCCGCUCCACAGCUCUGGGUGUGAGCCGAGGGAGAGAUGCUGACACAAGAAUGAUAUGCAGCUGGGGCCUGGGGCCUUGCUCUGUGCUUGUUUCCUCCUUCUGUCCCUGCUUGCGCUUCACUCUGGAUGCUCUAACUUUGACCUGCCUCAUUGCCUCUGGGCUUCCAUGACUCACAGCUGGCAUCCUAACAAGAAAACACUGCAGAGUGGCAGGCAGGCAGGCACAAGAAGAGGUGGAAACAAGAACAUUUUUUUCCAGGCAGAGGACAGAGACAGGGCCCCCAAGGUAAGGGAUGGGACGGGGGGGAUCCAUGAUAGAAGAGGGGAUUCGGAGAUAGGACAGACUGGGGCUAACUCACGGAGCGUACAUGUACACAGUGGGGAUUCAGGAUAAGCUCCUGAUGGAGUGACGGGAUGCCAUUGAAGGUUGUUAGGCAGGAGGAUAACACGCAUGUGCAUGCCUAUGUUUGUGUGCGGUAUGUAUGAAGAUGUGUAUCCGUAAGUCCACACAACACUUUGGCUUCGAGGUGGAGAACAAUUUGGAAGGGAAGUAAGAAUGAAUGCAAGACGAACAGGGGGACAUUGUUGCAAUAGUCAGGGGCAAAUGAAGGCGGCUUGCAGUGACAGCAGCUGAAGAAACGGUGAGAGAUCAUUUAAGAACGGUUUCUGUGGUGGGACUGACAGGCUGUGGCGCCUGCAUAGAUGUGUUCACAAGUUGACGGUUCUGGGAUCAGUCUCCAUUUCUGGCCAAGCAACCAAGAAAUGGUUAUACUUACUAGGAGAUCUGUUUGGGACACAGGAGGUCUGGGGAGGGGGGUCUGAGACAUCCAAGUUACAAUCAAAAACAAGACUUGGAGCAAGUGGUGGCGUGUGCCUGUGGCCCCAGCUCUCAGGGGCUGAAGAAUCACCGUGAGCUUUUGGUCUGGUCUGUAUAAUGAGUUCCAGGCUAUAAAGACUGUCUGCUCGAACAAGAUGUAGAGUCAAAGCCUCAGGGACAGAAUCAGCUCUAACUGUGCAAUCCCAGCCAUUAGCCAGCCACAGGGUGGUGAGAAAGAAGGACCAACAAGCCCUCGGGGACCUUACCCUUGUAGGGAUGGGCUGCAGAGGAGUUAGCAAAGGGUCGAAAGGGAGGCAGCAGCCAAGGAGAAAGCAAAGAGAGCUCUCCCUGCCUUUCUACCCUGUCCUCUCACCAUCAGACAAGACAGGCUUCAGCGAGACCCUUUAAAAUGGAACAUGUUUCACGCUACUUCUAUGUUCUGCAUUCAUUCAGAUUAAAAGGUCAGGCCUCUGCCCCGAGCAAGGCUCCACAGACUGCCAGUCGCCAUUUCCUCCAGCUUUCUGUGUCUCUCCACAGGUACUUUGAGAAAUGUCGAGGAUAAACAUCUACAGACUUAUAAAUUUAUCCUUUUAGGGUAUGUACUGGUUAGUGUUUGUCAUAUCGACACAAGCUAGCGUCAUCUGCUAAGAGGAAACCUCAAUCGAGGAAUUGCCUUUUGUCAGACUGGCCUGUGGGCAAGACUGUAGGGCAUUUUCUGAUUGUUGCUUGAUGUAGAAGGGCCCAGCCUGCGGUGGCAGUGCCAUCUCUGGGCUGGUGGUCUCAGUCCUAUAAGAAGGCAGGCUGAGCAAGCCACGGCCUCCCUCCACGGUUUCUGCCUUUGCUGCCGUCUGAGUUCUUUCCCCCCUACUGCCCUUACAGAUCCACUGUGAUUGAGAUGUGUAAGUCAAAUAGACCUCUCUUUGUGGUUUAUCACUCUAACAGAAGGCGAACUAGAACAAGGUACAGGACUAGGUUGCUUUUCGCACAGAAACCGCCAUCAAUGAACCACAUCAACACACCACAUGCUGUGCCACGUGCCAGUCCCUCUGCGCCCUCGGCCCCUAGCAACCUCUUACCCACUUCAUCUUUGAGACUAUCAAUUUGAGACCUUGUAUUCACGGAACUUAUUUGUACUUUUUGUGAAUUUUCUUUUAUUCCUAUAUUUUCAACAUUCACGUGCUGUGGUGUCUGUUAGCACUUGUCCUUGAAGUACUUGAAAAUAUCCUUGAAGGACGAAAUGAAUUCCCUUUUGUGAACAUACUGCAUAUUAUUUAUUAAACUAUCUUUCAGGCAUUGUGGACAAUGAUCUGAGUGUUUGCGUGUAGAUAUUUCUGUGAAAAAUGUUUUAAUAAUCACAUGGAAAUUCUGCGUAACUUUUUACCUGCCCAACUGUCUGCAGUGGGGGCACUGUGCACACGCCUCCAGAAAUGGAUGGGAGCACCAGUUUCUCCUUAUCGUUUUAACACCCUCCACUGUCCACUAUUUCAAUUACAGCUGCCGGUGUCUGUGGAUGGUGUCUCACUACAGCGUUAACCUACAGCUCUCACGGACAAACAAGGCGGAGCAUCUUCUGUGCUGAUUGGUCAUUUAAACAUCUUUGCCUGUUCACUUUAUUGACCAUUAAAGAAAAAACUGAACAGUCA